Molecule: ribosomal RNA, 253 nt
Filed under: uncultured bacterium
Lineage: Bacteria
Description: partial 16S ribosomal RNA
Rfam family: Bacterial small subunit ribosomal RNA
Source: RNAcentral
UACGUAGGGCGCAAGCGUUGUCCGGAAUUAUUGGGCGUAAAGAGCUCGUAGGCGGUCAGUCGCGUCGAUCGUGAAAGCCCGAGGCUCAACCUCGGAAUUGCGGUCGAUACGGGCUGACUAGAGUUCGGUAGGGGAGACUGAAAUUCCUGGUGUAGCGGUGAAAUGCGCAGAUAUCAGGAGGAACACCGGUGGCGAAGGCGGGUCUCUGGGCCGAUACUGACGCUGAGGAGCGAAAGCGUGGGGAGCAAACAGG